CCGGCCGGCGGCGACGGGAGCCACGAAUAUGGCGUCCGGCGCAGCGCCUGGGCUAUCUCCUGCACGUCUCCCGCCACGGCAAACACUAUGCCGGUACUGAAUCUUUCUCUGAAUAUCCUCUUCUACCUCGCGUGAGCUGAGAGGAGGGAGUGAGAUCCUAGGCUACAUUCAGCAAUAGACUGUUGCUGCCAUUUCCUUUGUGUCAAGCAUGAAAGAACAGAGAUUGUUCCUGCCAUGUUGUGUGCUUGCGCUCACCUAUUUAUUCAUAUGUUUAUGUUUACACUAAUCUGGGAGGUAAAUCCAUUUUAUAGAAGACAACAAAUCAUGCUUAGUGCAUCUGUUAUCUGCAAUUUUUGCGACCGGAAUUUCUGAAGUCUUAUGAGAUCUUUCAGUUUCUGAAUUUAGCUGUAAAUCCAUUUUACACCUAUUUAUGUGAUGUAUGCAUUUUUGCUCUAUCAUGCGUAUAAAGUUACACACCCCUUACUGAAGUUAUCAUAUUUUAUGGAUUUAGCCUUUGAGGCAAAUACAGUUGAACAGUGUUGCUCUAGUUGAAGGUUUUCUUCUAGCUUUCAACGCAUGUUAGAUUUUUCUCAAUCAUCUGAAAAGCAAUGCUUAUUAUAAUAUAGAGGAAGAGUGGAAUCAUUUGCACAGCUUGGGUCUGAUUAGUCAUGAAGAAACAUGACAUAAGAAAUAUUGUAUUUCCAUGUGGUUGCAAGACUUCGAUUGUUUGUACUAUUCCUCUUCAGACCUGAAUAAGAAGACUAGGUCAUCAAAUACUAUAGAUGAGUAUCCAGUAGUAGGCGAACUACCAAAUAAUUCAAAGUUCACAACAUCUUUCUUUUGGAUUGGAGCGUAGUGCGUAAACCAUCAGCCAAGGACAGGCUUAUCAAUGGCAAGGCUGAUUGCCUCAAAGACCAGGAGUAUGUCCUUACUUUUGAAGACAAGGACGACGACUGGAUGCUUGUUGGUCACCUUCGGUGGGAUAUCUUUACUACUAUCUGCCGGAAACUGAAAAGCAUGAGAGGAUCUGAUGCUGCUGGAAUAGGCGCUUUUGAUCUUUAUAUAUUACAGAACAUAAAGAAGAUCAGCAAAGGAUCAAAAGCUGACAUAAAAUAUUUGCUGUAUUUCAGAGCAUGCUGAAGCAAGGUGAUUCCAGAGGAGGCGCAGGAGCCGCAGGCCGUGAACCUUGUGCUGGCUGGUCUCGACGGCAUGCUCGACGAGAUGUUACCGGUGACUGACCUCUGUCUUGUGCAUGUCACCGCGUGGCUGCAUGACCCCUCCUCUGUGCCAAAGGAGCUGGCAGUUAUGGUGUCGGCGCCUAUUCUGGUGCCUACACAGCCUGGCUCUGACGAGGAUGUCGAAUCACCGCCGGCUCCAAGCUCCCCUACGUACAAGCGCACGCACGAGUACAAUCUCAUUCUACAUGUGAAGGAGGUCAUCGACCGCGGCCCUUUGAUGAUGGAUGGCACUGAUUUCUACCCUGACGAUGACGAAGACCUGAGCCGCAAGCAUAAGUUUAAGACUUGGCGUGGCAAGAUCGACGACACAGGUCCCCGUCUUUAUGGCGAGGCAUGAUCGGAAUUUGCUAUGAUCCUUUUCUCCGGUGUUUACUUUAGUUUACAAUGUUCCGAACUAGAGUUCGUACUACAAAGUGUUUACUUUAGUUUGUAAUGUUCCGAACUAGAGUUUCGUACUACAAAGUCUUUACUUUAGUUUAUAAUGUUUCGAACAGAGUUUGUCAUUUUGUCUGAUCGAGAAAUCUGGCGUGUUAUAAUCUUUAUCUUGUAUGAUUCAAAAUACUCUUUAUGCUACUUUUCAAAUAGUUCAAUUGCACUCUCAAA
This is a long non-coding RNA of Lolium rigidum, 1841 nucleotides long. RefSeq lists it as uncharacterized. NCBI's taxonomy places the organism in Eukaryota, Viridiplantae, Streptophyta, Magnoliopsida, Poales, Poaceae. The record is from RefSeq and is a predicted model, not a curated record. The transcript is spliced from 2 exons.